AGAUUAUGUAAAAAAAAUACCAUUUAAAAAUUACAACGACAGUGAUAAUGCCUUUAUAUCACCUAGUAUGUGUGAAGAACUGUCCACGUACGUGAAUUUAAAAAGUAUGUUAAAUUUUGCUAAAAAAAAACAAAGUGAAAAUAGUAUCAAGGAAGAUAUGGAAAAUAUCAAACAGAGGGACAAAAAGAAGGACAACAUGGUAAAUGAUAAAACUAUUGCAAACUUUACUCACACUUUAUAUAAUACUACAUGCGAAAUGCAAACUGAAAAUAAUCAUCUAUUACCUAUAUCAACAAAUGAUAUACAAUUUAACGAUACUAUAAUACCAUAUGCACAAGAUAUAGAUAAAACAAGUAGUGCAAAUAAUAACAAAUGUAAUUUCUUGAUAAGUGAAUUUGAAAAAUAUGUAGAUUUAAAUAUAAAUAACAAACUCCAUCAUAAUAAUUAUAAUUAUUGUUCAAGUUCACAAAAUGAAGACGAAGAAAGUUCCAAUAUGUCAGACUUUUCUUUUAUCUUUGAUAAUAAUAUAAAUGAUGAAUUGAGCAUCAAAAAUAGUGAACAUAAUAUAUAUGCAGAAGGGAUAAAUAAAAAAAAAAACGAAUCUUCUAUUAUUUCGCCUUGUACAUAUGCAAAAAGCAAACAAAGCGGUGCAGAUGGCAAUGGUAGCAACAGACAUAUCAACAGACAUAUCAACAAACAUAGCAACAAACAUAGCAACAAACAUAGCAACAAACAUAGCGAAUGGGAUAAUGGCAAAAUUAGCGAUAACAGUAGUGACAACCAUGGGAAUAACAAUAGCGGUCGUGACCAUGUCGAAUGUCACGAAAAAUACAACUACAUCAACAACUUAUCUUUAUACAAUGUAAUCAAAUACUUAAUUCUUAGUGCAGGGAUAAAUGGUAUGACAACAAAAGAAAUAUCAAUUUUUUUACAGCUUUCAAUAAAAAAAACAAAUAUAUUUCUUCAAAAACUUGUAAAAAAUAAUGAUGUUAUUAAAAUACCUGAAAGGAAAGAUAAAAAUUUCAUGUACAGAUUUAUUCAUAACUUUAUUUAUCAGUAUGUACAAAAAAAAAAAUAUAUUAAUUUUGUAUCACCUAAAGUAAAUUCACAGAAUGAUAAAAUAGAACAUAACAACUUGAGUAACAAAAAAAUGCAAGAAUAUAGCAAAUAUAUUGAUCAUAACGAACUGGAUGUAACUACGAUACAAAAACCAAAUACAAUAGGUAUUAAAAAAAGUGCCCUUUCAAAAAAUUAUAAUAUAGAAAAUCGAAAUGGCACUAACAUAAAUAAUGAUGUUAAUACUCGUGGCAGUAUCGGUGGUAGUAAUAGUAACACACAACUUCUAAAACAGAACAACCCAAACGAAUUGUUAGAUGCAAAAAAAGAUGAGCUGCUAGUUACUUCGACUGUUGUAAAUACAAACGUGAUUCCUAUAGAAUUUAGCAAUCUCAACGAAUCAAUAAAUUUACUUAAUUAUAUAAAUACUAUGAACAAAAUAAAUAUAGAUGUUUUAAUUUAUGUUAUACCUACAUAUAAAGAUUGUUGUUAUAACUUCACGAAUUUUAAAGAUUUUUUUAACCAUUAUGUAAAUAGAAUUAAAUAUUUUGAUAGCAAAUACGACUUUUAUACAUGUAGUUUUCAUUUUUUUUAUUAUUUAAAAUUUAUACAAAAACAAUUAAAAAAAAGAAAAGAUUUGUUAUACGAUGGAAAUUCGAGCUAUGAUAUAUCAAAAGAAGAAAAAUUAUAUGAACAACAAAAAGAAGAAAUAAAUAAAAUAGUUAAAAAAGAGUUUCA
Molecule: long non-coding RNA, 1794 nt
Organism: Piliocolobus tephrosceles (Ugandan red Colobus)
Lineage: Eukaryota; Metazoa; Chordata; Mammalia; Primates; Cercopithecidae
Source: Ensembl